This 460-nucleotide ribosomal RNA is filed under the name uncultured bacterium. RNAcentral describes it as "partial 16S ribosomal RNA". It matches the Rfam family "Bacterial small subunit ribosomal RNA", at positions 338 to 795 of the family's 1533-position model. The record is from RNAcentral.
CCUACGGGAGGCAGCAGUGAGGAAUAUUGGUCAAUGGGCUUACGCCUGAACCAGCCAAGUCGCGUGAGGGAAGACUGCCCUAUGGGUUGUAAACCUCUUUUGCCAGGGAGCAACGCCGGCUACGUGUAGCCGGACUGAGAGUACCUGAAGAAAAAGCAUCGGCUAACUCCGUGCCAGCAGCCGCGGUAAUACGGAGGAUGCGAGCGUUAUCCGGAUUGAUUGGGUUUAAAGGGUGCGUAGGCGGAAUGCCAAGCCAGCGGUAAAAUCGCGGGGCUCAACCUCGCUCCGCCGUUGAAACUGGCGUUCUUGAGUGGGCGAGAGGUAUGCGGAAUGCGUGGUGUAGCGGUGAAAUGCAUAGAUAUCACGCAGAACUCCGAUUGCGAAGGCAGCAUACCGGCGCACAACUGACGCUGAAGCGCGAAAGCGUGGGUAUCGAACAGGAUUAGAUACCCUUGUAGUC